GUAAUAUCUGCUUGAGAAGCUAAUCGGUACACACAAAAUAAUCCAAUGGAAGCAAAGAAAACGACAACAUGCCCAAUUCCGCCUUUCUUCACAAAGGAUGUUUAACAAAGAAGUAACUGAAAAUAAAAGGGCAUUUAAAUCCCAAACAUUGAUACAAUAAAUAAAGUCAUACCUCCUAUAUUAGAAACAGGUCCCCCUAAUCAGUCAACAAGAAUGAAGGGCCAUUAGCAGAAAUAUAAAUUCAACCCUUAAAAGGAUCUUUGACAGAUUAUAAUACACACAACGAUAACAUGAUCAGAGAGAAUCAUCUUGCUAAGAAGAGUUAUCAACGAAACAACCUACUGUACAGGUAAAUGUACAAGAAGAAAUUCUCUGAUACCUAAUACCCAGCAACUCACAAAGAGGUCUUCAAGACUUUCAAAACCAUCCAGUCCCAAAGCCUGUUGCUGCCUUAUGAGAAGACAAUUGGGUCUUCCACUAUCCAUUGAUGUUGCAGAUAGUCUCCAAGUCUUUACAACAAGAAACUAACUACUAUUCAUCAUCCAACUCAACGAGUUGAGCCCGCCUUUCCGCUGCUUUCUUCCUGAUAAAGAAACCCCACCUCAUAGCUGCCUUGAUCUUCAGCCACCCCACAACAGCCUUACCAGGACGUGUGCGAUCCUCAUCAAAGUUUGGCAUUGGUGAUGCCAUAUAAGGUGGGAAUGAAUACCCAUCUUCAGGUAUAUUUACAGAGGCAUGCCCUCCCAUGCUGAAGAGUCGGAGCAAGUGUUGCAUAUCUUCAUUCUCAAGCAUUUCGUUACUUCGGAUGCGAAUCUCCUCCUCUGUAAAGUAGUCAUCAACUCCCUUGUCCCUGUUGUUGGUCCAAUCAUCAAAAGGAUUGAGACUGGGUGGCUGCAUUGAAGAGCCAAGAACUUGAAACCCUGAGGUAGAUGACUGAGGAGGACCAAGGGCCAGGCCAACAACACUGUUAUCACUUCUCAUGCUUUGGGCCUGGUGAGAAUUGCUGAUUAAAGGCUCAUUUGACGUGAAUGAGGUGUUAUCAAAUUGGGCACGUGAAUUUGGAUUCAAAAGCUGGGACUGAGAUGAGAACCCUGAUCCCAUAUUUUCAUUAUAACCAGAUGCUCCAACUUGGAGGCCUGAAUGCACAGAAGCCUGAUCAGUAGGAACUGAAGCUGGUAGCCUAGGUAAUUGCAUUUGAUGGUCUAAAGCAUUAGGGUAACUAAUUUGGCCCAUCGGAAAUUCAUUUCGGAAAGCAUUUGACCUCUUAUUUUGCUUGAAGUUCAAAAGAGACUUGCCAUCAUAUUCCACAACCUGAUUCCAAUUCUCAUAUGCUUUCUUCACCAAUGUAUCCACAUAGACCUUUUGCUCAUCAGAAAGAGAAUCAGCUGGAAAAUAUUGUUCCCCUGAAAUAAGGCCAUUUAGUUCAUAGAUGUUGUUGAAAACAGCACCGACACUUCUUGAAUCUUCAGGAUAAUAGAUAUAAAGUUUCCCACCCAGAGCACAUGUCUUUGCAUGCUCCACAAGAGCUUCCCACAUUUUGUUUGACAUGCCAGACCCAAGAAUAUUUCGUAAUUUUUGAGCAUCCCUAACAUAAAGACGUAAGAAAUCUUCAACUGUAUGUAUUCCACUAUUAUUUAGUUUUUUAUGAAAGGAACCAUCUUUGCCAAUUUUCUCCAACCUCCAUACUUCAUCAUUCAAUGCAGGCGGAUAGUGUUUCUUGUAGACUGUCAACAGAGAACAAUAUGAAUUCAAUAUCUUCCUACAGGUAUUGAAAUAGAAAUAAAAAUAAUGCAGGGAAAGAACUUGCGUUCCCCUCUGUGAUCUUUAACAGUGAAAGCUUCAGUCUUUGCCUCCCGAAUUCGUAUGCCCUCACAAUAUCCAGAGGCAACCUUCAAGCCAAGCCUAAACUUCCUGCUCCUUAUCCAGCUUGAGUUGUCCGUAAAAGUGAGUUCCCCCAGCGUUCCUACCCCUUCCUUGAGGGUCACUUGUAGAUCCCCAGUCAACAGUGGUCUUUUUCCUUCACGCUCUUUUACAACAUGGCUUUCAAAUUCUUCCUGGUUCCAGUCUUCAUCAUCUUCAUUAUUGAAAUCACCUUCAAGCACAACAACGUCUAGCUUUACAGAGGCUUCAGGCCCAGAGGUUACAACAACGCCACUAUUAGCAUCAAGCAGAACAAUGUGGAUUGCAGCACCCUGCUCCCCCUCCACUUUUCCUCCAGUGAAAAGAGGAAGAGACAACCUGGACCUAAAUUGUAACUGCAAGUUUCCUCCAUCUGGACCUUCAAUACGUUUCGGGGAAGACCUUCCACUGAUUCUAGGAGGGCCCAACUUUGCUAAAGCACGUUCCACUUCCUCACUUACCUGUUUGGCAUAAAUUGCAAUGACACAAUAAAAAGAUAAAGAAAUUAAAUAUGUUAAUAUACAAAUGUACAAAGAAUGCCAAGAAAGGGAAAUGGUUUAUCUAAUAUGUUAUCAUAGACAAAAUAAAAUUUCCAAAAGCAAUCAAAUCCAUGUGACAUUAGUCUAUUCCCUUUCUUUCCCUGACAAUUAAUUACAUCCCAUAUCACAUCACUGCAUUUUGCUAUUGACAUUGUUAACUGUAACAUAGAUGGACUUAUGCACAUAUACCCAUAGACCAUAUACUUCUUAUUUUGGAAUCAGCUCUAUGUCUAUGGUUUAACGAUACAGGUGCACAAUCAUAACUGACAGGUAUAAGAGUGGGAGAAGAGUAAGAAAUCAGUCUCGGAACCAGAAUCUUUUGCAGUCACAGAAUCAGACUCAUUGAUUGGCACUAUCAUGAAAUUUUUCACAAAAUUGGCAAAAUGACUCAAAAAUCUAACAAUAUAUCAACAUAGUAAACAUCUGUAGGAACAUUUUAUUGAAUAAUAAAUCAUGACUUGCUUGCUUGGAAAGAGUGGAGGGAAGCACAGAAAAGGGAGGAGUAAAAAAAAUAAUAGUAAACCAUCAUGGGAUAGUUGGUCUUUCAGAGAACUUCACUCUCAGCCCUAAGCACCUGAUCCUUAGUGCAACUCCACAAAGGGAAACUCCUCAUUUACGCAUAUGGAUGUAACCUCUCUUGGUAAAAAUUUAGCUGACAGAAACAUUCAGCCUCAAGUACCUAGCAAAUGUGAUGAGAUGCCUAAUGCAUUUAAUCUCAGUUGUGAUUCCUCUGCUCCAAAUGACAGAUUCCUAGCAACUGUAACUCAAGCUGAUAAUCUAUUCCAAAUUCCCUAAAUUUGAAGCCAAAUGACCCAGAUCCUAAACUCAGACAUUAAUAUCCCAAAUUCCAAGUGGCUUCCCAGAAAUACAGCCUGUACAAUUCAUUUUGUAUCAGUUCAUGCAGAAAAAUGGUAGAGAAUCAAAAGUGAAACUCUUACAACUCUACGAAGAAUGGGUUCCAAAGAUGAGCAGAGCUUUUGCAGACUGUCCACCUUAAGAGCUUCUACAAUGACACUGCAUGAUGCAUAUCGAUUUGCAUUAAAAUAGAACUCCAUAGUAAUAUAGUUUAAUUUGAUAACUUACAUAAAACCAGUUUCCAACAAUCAACUGUUAGAACGAAUAAUAACCAUUUCUUUAAACAAAAGCAAGUCAUUCAGAGUAAUUUUAGCCUUAAAAAAAAGGAGAGACAUGAAAAGAAACAAAAACAGAACAAACACAAUCUGUAAAACAAAAACCUCAUUUCACAGACCUAUAAUAGUAAAACUAAGUAUUUGAAGAACAUUGAGAAAUCACAACUUUCUUGAGAUCACAGACCUAUAAUAAUAAAACUAAGUAUUUGAAGAACACUGAUAAAUCAAAACUUUCUUGAGAUAAAUUUAAUUGUGAUAGCAAUGAGCAAGCACAACUCUUUAGAUAGUAAAGGAGGAGAAAGAGGGAUAAUGAAGCAGCAGACCACACAACUAUGCUUUCUUGAACUUCUUAACUAAAAAUGCUAUUAACUUUGAGACACUUCCAAUAUGACUGCACUAUUUGUUGCACCUGUGCUAGGGACUCAUGAAAUGAUCCUCUUUCAUGCUUCCUUUAAUAGCAAAAGUGUAAAACAAUAAUAACAAAGGGAAGCAAGAGACCUUAUGCCAUCUUGGCCAUGAGCCCAUGAAAGACCUGAAAGGAUAAAGACAUAUCCAACCAGAUACAUUAAGUCCUUUGUCUUUGACAAGAAGAUAAUAUUUGAUAAUGUUAAUUUUAGAAUCCAACUACAAUCUUUUUUUCCUCAGAUCACCCAAGAAGACUAACUUUUUAAAGUAAAGGCCAGAAUGCAGUCAUUCUAGCUUCCAGGCACUUGAAAUUAUGCAACGGUCUAGUCUUGUCAAACCUACAUAAAAUAAAUAAAUAAUAUGUCCCAUAAAUUGCUGGUUGAUCAUCCCAAAUAUACUGCAAAACCACCAAAUGUAACACGCUGAAUCACAAUUAAGGCUUUUCUAAACCUAAAAAUAGAAAGUGUUAAAAAAUUUCCAACGAACCCACAUAUAGAAUACACUUGAACGACAAGUUUAAGCUUAGCAAGAGCAAACAGCUAUCAUCAAUAAUGGCAUAAGUCAAUAGAAAAGAAUAAAACCCAUUUUCCAAACCAUCAAAAGCUGAUCCCAUUAUCAAGUUUAAGAGAAGAGAACUCAACAAGCAGCAAGGUAAGAGUCAACGCAAUGCAAAAUAACACAACUCAAUUACCCAGCUGUCUACUGAAUAUCUACAACACCUUGAAACCAGAAUUCCCAC
RNAcentral lists this unclassified non-coding RNA (4712 nucleotides) under Hevea brasiliensis (rubber tree). Lineage: Eukaryota; Viridiplantae; Streptophyta; Magnoliopsida; Malpighiales; Euphorbiaceae. The record is from RNAcentral.